This 73-nucleotide transfer RNA is filed under the name Canis lupus familiaris (dog). It matches the Rfam family "tRNA". Rfam says of the family: Transfer RNA (tRNA) molecules are approximately 80 nucleotides in length. Their secondary structure includes four short double-helical elements and three loops (D, anti-codon, and T loops). Further hydrogen bonds mediate the characteristic L-shaped molecular structure. tRNAs have two regions of fundamental functional importance: the anti-codon, which is responsible for specific mRNA codon recognition, and the 3' end, to which the tRNAs corresponding amino acid is attached (by aminoacyl-tRNA synthetases). tRNAs cope with the degeneracy of the genetic code in two manners: having more than one tRNA (with a specific anti-codon) for a particular amino acid; and 'wobble' base-pairing, i.e. permitting non-standard base-pairing at the 3rd anti-codon position. The record is from Rfam by way of RNAcentral. Lineage: Eukaryota; Metazoa; Chordata; Mammalia; Carnivora; Canidae. RNAcentral also lists the same sequence under 3 other names.
ACCUGGCUGGCUCAGUUGAUAGAGCAUGUGAUUCUUGAUCUCAGGGUUAUGAGUUUGAGUCUCAUGUUGGGCA